AUACAACUUUCAGCAACGGAUCUCUUGGCUCUCGCAUCGAUGAAGAACGCAGCGAAAUGCGAUAAGUAAUGUGAAUUGCAGAAUUCAGUGAAUCAUCGAAUCUUUGAACGCACCUUGCGCUCCUUGGUAUUCCGAGGAGCAUGCCUGUUUGAGUGUCAUUAAAUUCUCAA
RNAcentral lists this ribosomal RNA (170 nucleotides) under Hebeloma sp. RNAcentral's name for it is "5.8S ribosomal RNA". It matches the Rfam family "5.8S ribosomal RNA". Rfam says of the family: 5.8S ribosomal RNA (5.8S rRNA) is a component of the large subunit of the eukaryotic ribosome. It is transcribed by RNA polymerase I as part of the 45S precursor that also contains 18S and 28S rRNA. Lineage: Eukaryota; Fungi; Basidiomycota; Agaricomycetes; Agaricales; Hymenogastraceae. The record is from RNAcentral.